GACGAACGCUGGCGGCGUGCUUAACACAUGCAAGUCGAACGGAAAGGCCCUGCUUUUGUGGGGUGCUCGAGUGGCGAACGGGUGAGUAACACGUGAGUAACCUGCCCUUGACUUUGGGAUAACUUCAGGAAACUGGGGCUAAUACCGGAUAGGAGCUCCUGCUGCAUGGUGGGGGUUGGAAAGUUUCGGCGGUUGGGGAUGGACUCGCGGCUUAUCAGCUUGUUGGUGGGGUAGUGGCUUACCAAGGCUUUGACGGGUAGCCGGCCUGAGAGGGUGACCGGCCACAUUGGGACUGAUAUACGGCCCAGACUCCUACGGGAGGCAGCAGUGGGGAAUAUUGCACAAUGGGCGGAAGCCUGAUGCAGCAACGCCGCGUGCGGGAUGACGGCCUUCGGGUUGUAAACCGCUUUCGCCUGUGACGAAGCGUGAGUGACGGUAAUGGGUAAAGAAGCACCGGCUAACUACGU
RNAcentral lists this ribosomal RNA (467 nucleotides) under uncultured bacterium. RNAcentral describes it as "partial 16S ribosomal RNA". It matches the Rfam family "Bacterial small subunit ribosomal RNA", at positions 28 to 506 of the family's 1533-position model. The record is from RNAcentral.